GUGCUCACUUCGGCAGCACAUAUACUAAAAUUAGAACGAUACAGAGAAGAUUUGCAUGUCCCCUGUGAAAGGAUGGCACACAAAUUCAUGACGCGUUCCAUAUUUUU
RNAcentral lists this small nuclear RNA (107 nucleotides) under Panthera leo (lion). Lineage: Eukaryota; Metazoa; Chordata; Mammalia; Carnivora; Felidae. The record is from RNAcentral.